GCCCAUCUAGCCCACUUGGUGGAGCACAAGACUUUUAACCUUGUGGUCAUGGGUUCAAGCCCCAUUGUUUGCA
This 73-nucleotide transfer RNA is filed under the name Zea mays. It matches the Rfam family "tRNA". From Rfam's summary of the family: Transfer RNA (tRNA) molecules are approximately 80 nucleotides in length. Lineage: Eukaryota; Viridiplantae; Streptophyta; Magnoliopsida; Poales; Poaceae. The record is from Rfam by way of RNAcentral.